RNAcentral lists this non-coding RNA (187 nucleotides) under Selenomonadales bacterium. RNAcentral's name for it is "6S RNA". It matches the Rfam family "6S / SsrS RNA". From Rfam's summary of the family: E. coli 6S RNA was the first non coding RNA to be sequenced, but its function was unknown until recently. The record is from RNAcentral. Lineage: Bacteria; Bacillati; Bacillota; Negativicutes; Selenomonadales.
AUACCUCUGCUGUGUGCGAUUAUCGUUGAUGUGUUUUGAGCCAACACAUCACGAUAGGGCCAUUAAUACUCCGCUUGCGGGAUGACACCUCAUUGGUUUGCCAAGAGGCACACGAAGCAUUCGGGAUUAUGCCCACCUGCUUAGGCAGGUUCAAAACGACAACGAGAAACGGCAUGAUGGAGGGUAA